Non-coding RNA from Ciona intestinalis (vase tunicate), 657 nucleotides. NCBI's taxonomy places the organism in Eukaryota, Metazoa, Chordata, Ascidiacea, Phlebobranchia, Cionidae. The record is from RefSeq and is a predicted model, not a curated record.
UUUAAACACAAUCAGGAUAUUUAGAUAUUAUGUGCUAAAGGUACCACGUCUUUCUUCUACUAUGUUACCUUUGUUUGUUUUUUUUAUCACAGUUACUCUGUGACUCGAUGUAGUAAUCAAACAGCUUACCAACAUAGCAUUAUAGAAAAGUCCGAGCAACAUUCUUGGUAGGAAUGAAAACACAGCUGAUUUGAAACAAACUCGUUUGCCGAACCAAUCCCUUAUAUGACCAACUUGAUGCUUACUGAAUGCUGACCAAGAUGCCUCGAAGUAAUUGUUGUAAGAACCCACCGAUCCCACCUUCCCCCACAACUGACUGGCCGUCGUUGACGUCCCUCAGAUCAAGAUACAACUUACGUGCCUUACACAUCGAUCCGAACCUAUGAUGACGUCAUCGUGUUAAUAUUACGUCAUGAUGACGAAACAAGCUGAAAAACGUGCUUCAAAUGCGAACGCUUGCUCUACCCAACAGAAAUAUCAUCUGACACGGGGCUCUUACUUCCUGACCAACCGUAAGUUUGUGCUUUUUUCCUGUGUAUUACUUAGUAAUCUAAUUGGUUUAACUCGAAUAUACCGUAUAUAUAUAUAUGUAUAUACACAGUCAUUUAAUUACUUUACGCGUGGUCUACGUACGUAAGGUCUGCCAGACUACAUUAC